CCUACGGGAGGCAGCAGUGAGGAAUAUUGGUCAAUGGGCGCGAGCCUGAACCAGCCAAGUCGCGUGAGGGAAGACGGUCCUAUGGAUUGUAAACCUCUUUUGUCGGGGAGCAAAAGACGCCACGCGUGGCGUUCCGAGAGUACCCGAAGAAAAAGCAUCGGCUAACUCCGUGCCAGCAGCCGCGGUAAUACGGGGGAUGCGAGCGUUAUCCGGAUUUGUUGGGUGAAACGGGUGCGUAGGCGGAAUAUCAAGUCAGCGGUAAAAAUUCGGGGCUCAACACCGUAGUGCCGUUGAAACUGAUGUUCUAGAGUGCGCGAGAAGUAAGCGGAAUGCGUGGUGUAGCGGUGAAAUGCAUAGAUAUCACGCAGAACACCGAUUGCGAAGGCAGCAUACCGGCGCCCAACUGACGCUGAAGCACGAAAGCGUGGGUAUCGAACAGGAUUAGAUACCCGAGUAGUC
This 459-nucleotide ribosomal RNA is filed under the name uncultured bacterium. RNAcentral describes it as "partial 16S ribosomal RNA". It matches the Rfam family "Bacterial small subunit ribosomal RNA", at positions 338 to 795 of the family's 1533-position model. The record is from RNAcentral.